GUUUACGGCCAUGCCAUCCUGAACGUGCCCCAUCUCGUCUGAUCUCGGAAGCUAAACAGUGUCAGGCCUGGUUAGUACUUGGAUAGGAGACUAUCUAGGAAUACCAGGUGCUGUAGGUG
This 119-nucleotide ribosomal RNA is filed under the name Pteropus vampyrus (large flying fox). The record is from RNAcentral. Lineage: Eukaryota; Metazoa; Chordata; Mammalia; Chiroptera; Pteropodidae.